Molecule: ribosomal RNA, 578 nt
Filed under: uncultured bacterium
Lineage: Bacteria
Description: bacterial SSU rRNA
Rfam family: Bacterial small subunit ribosomal RNA
Source: RNAcentral
UCNUGGGAUAACACUGACGUUCAUGCCCGAAAGCGUGGGUAGCAAACAGGAUUAGAUACCCUGGUAGUNCACGCCCUAAACGAUGUCGAUUAGCUGUUGGGCAGCAUGACUGCUUAGUAGCGAAGCUAACGCGUGAAAUCGACCGCCUGGGGAGUACGGUCGCAAGAUUAAAACUCAAAGGAAUUGACGGGGACCCGCACAAGCGGUGGAUGAUGUGGAUUAAUUCGAUGCAACGCGAAGAACCUUACCUGGUCUUGACAUGUGCGGAACCCUCCAGAGACGGAGGGGUGCCUUCGGGAGCCGUAACACAGGUGCUGCAUGGCUGUCGUCAGCUCGUGUCGUGAGAUGUUGGGUUAAGUCCCGCAACGAGCGCAACCCUUGUCAUUAGUUGCCAUCAUUAAGUUGGGCAUUCUAAUGAGACUGCCGGUGACAAGCCGGAGGAAGGUGGGGAUGGCGUCAAGUCCUCAUGGCCCUUAUGACCAGGGCUUCACACGUCAUACAAUGGUCGGUACAGAGGGUAGCCAAGCCGCGAGGUGGAGCCAAUCUUACAAAACCGAUCGUAGUCCGGAUUGCACUCU